UACUCGAGUGGCGAACGGGUGAGUAACACGUGGGUGAUCUGCCCUGCACUUCGGGAUAAGCCUGGGAAACUGGGUCUAAUACCGGAUAGGACGAUGGUUUGGAUGCCAUUGUGGAAAGUUUUUCGGUGUGGGAUGAGCUCGCGGCCUAUCAGCUUGUUGGUGGGGUAAUGGCCUACCAAGGCGUCGACGGGUAGCCGGCCUGAGAGGGUGUACGGCCACAUUUGGACUGAGAUACGUCCCAG
RNAcentral lists this ribosomal RNA (242 nucleotides) under uncultured Actinomycetales bacterium. RNAcentral describes it as "partial 16S ribosomal RNA". It matches the Rfam family "Bacterial small subunit ribosomal RNA", at positions 88 to 334 of the family's 1533-position model. The record is from RNAcentral. Lineage: Bacteria; Bacillati; Actinomycetota; Actinomycetes; Actinomycetales.